UCGAGGAUCUUCGGCAAUGGGCGCAAGCCUGACCGAGCGACGCCGCGUGUGCGAUGAAGGCCUUCGGGUUGUAAAGCACUGUCGAGGGGGAGAAAAGCCGUAAGGCUUGAUCGACCUCUGGAGGAAGCACGGGCUAAGUUCGUGCCAGCAGCCGCGGUAAGACGAACCGUGCAAACGUUGUUCGGAAUCACUGGGCUUAAAGGGCGCGUAGGCGGGCAGGCAAGUCAGAGGUGAAAGCCCACGGCUCAACCGUGGAAGUGCCCCUGAUACUGCUUGUCUGGAGGGAGGUAGGGGCGUGCGGAACUUCCGGUGGAGCGGUGAAAUGCGUAGAUAUCGGAAGGAACACCGGUGGCGAAAGCGGCGCGCUGGACCUCUUCUGACGCUGAGGCGCGAAAGCUAGGGGAGCAAACGGGAUUAGAUACCCCCGUAGUCC
RNAcentral lists this ribosomal RNA (433 nucleotides) under uncultured bacterium. RNAcentral describes it as "bacterial SSU rRNA". It matches the Rfam family "Bacterial small subunit ribosomal RNA", at positions 355 to 796 of the family's 1533-position model. The record is from RNAcentral.